This 4804-nucleotide long non-coding RNA is filed under the name Sus scrofa (pig). RNAcentral's name for it is "lncRNA (ENSSSCG00065079184.1)". The record is from RNAcentral. Lineage: Eukaryota; Metazoa; Chordata; Mammalia; Artiodactyla; Suidae.
ACAAAUGUGUCCCCUGGAUACUUCCAGUUGGGGACCAGGUUCUCAGCCCUUGGAAGUGGAGGGGAGGCCCCCACUGAGUAGAGACCUCCAGGAGGGCACUCGGUCCAGUCUCCCCCACAUCUCCUUCCUUCACAUUCCUGAUCCUGUCCCAGAUUUUUGGGCAAAGUUCUGGAAAGGUCUCUGUGGUCCGGUUCUAGGAUUUCCUCUAGAUCUCAUGACCCAUCAUCUCCCUGGCCUCUCACAUGAUGUCUUCUUCCCACAGGUGAAAAAGGAGGGAGCUACACUCAGGCUGCAGGCAGUGACAGUGACCAGGGCUCCGAUGUGUCCCUUACCAAGGGUCCUAGAGGUGAGACCCUGGAGGGCCUAGAUGGGGAGGGGGUUGGGGCAGAGGGGGUGCCCUGGGUGACGGGGACCUUUGAGGGGGACGUUUGGAGCAUGUGGGGCUGUUGAGCAUGUCAGCCCUUGCUUGACUGACCUGCCUGUUUCCUGAUGAUUUUCUUUCACAGUGUGAGACAACUGCCUUGUGGGGACUGAGGGACACAAGAUUUGUUCACAUCCCACUUUGUGACUUCAGAUCCCCUGACUCCUGUUUCUGAAGCUGCCUCUGAAAGGGUCUGUGUUCCUAUGAGCAUCCUGAGAGGAGGUGGGCACCCUGGCCCAGCCCUGCCCCCCACGUCCCCUCCUCACCCUGACCUGUGUUCUCUUCCCUGAUCCUCUUUCCAGUUCUUGCAAGUGGGAGCUGGGCUGGGGGGGAGGCCACUGGACACCAUCUCCAUCCUUAUCUUAACUUGACUGCCCUGAGUAAUGACUUCCUGUUGAAUUUGCUUUUUCUAAUUGGUGCCAUGAGGAGUUGAGGGGAUAAUAAAUGAGAGAUUUCCUUAGUUUGAAAGAGGAAAUAAAUGGAAGGAUUGAGAACCUUCCAGAAUCCACAUGUGUGCUGUGCUGCCUCUGUUCCAUGUGAGACGUGAGCAGAGAAACAUGGUCGGGGCCUGUGCCCGGUGAGAGCUCAGGGCAUCAUGGGCUUCAGUGUGGACACUCCCAGGCUCGGCCGUCUUUUCCCCUGUCCCUUUGUCCUUGUCCCUUCAGGAGAACUUUCUUCCACCAGGCCCUGUGAUCUCAGGGACUGAGAAGUCCCCUGGGCCUUGUCCUGUAUUCAGGAGCUUGGUUAGCAAGGGCCUCCUGUCACCAGGUAGCCUACGCUCCAGCCUUGGUCCCAUCAGUAGUCCCUUUAUUCUGUGUUUGUAUUUGGCCUUUUUAGAUUUUUUUUUUAAAUACGGACUUUUCAUUUACAUGUGUGAAAUUACAGUCUCAUUUUGCUCUGGGUGUCCCUCGUCUGCCACAGCCACCAGAGUCAUUUGCCUGUCAUUGUUCCCACAUGUCCGGGGGUCCCUGCUCACAGAUUCUCAGUGGUAUCAAGAGAUCCAUUUUCAGCCUCAUCCAGCUCUUGCCCUCCUUCCAGAGAUGUUNUUUUUUUUUUUUUUUUUUUUUUUUUUUUUUUUUUUUUCGACUUUUCAGGGCCACAGCCAGGGCACAUGGAGGUUCCCAGGCUAGGUGUCUAAUCAGAGCUACAGCUGCUGGCCUACACCACAGCCAUAGGAACGUGGGAUCUGAGCCACACCUGUAAACUACACCACAACACACAGCAGUGCUGGAUCCUUAACGCAGUGAGCAUGGCCAGGGAUCGAACCCGCCACCUCAUGGUUCCUAGUCGGGUUCAUUUCCACUGUGCCACCACGGGAACGCCUGGAUGCUUCUUUCUAACUUUUCCCCAUCCUUUUGUGGGAACGAGAUUCUGGAAGUAGCAACGAGGAGGGACCCAGUGGUUUUCCAUCUUGACCUCAUUCUUGCUGGAUCUGGAUCUUCUCUGCAGCCUGCCCCCUCCUCUGCCCUGAGCUCUCCUCAGCCCAGUGCCGGCUCCAAUCCAAGCCCAUGCAUUUCGAAAGCAGAGUCUGAUAGACUCACAGCAGCGGGAAUCUAGGGCCAGAAGCACAGGAGCAUCUUUCCUGGGGAGAGAAAGAGCGCUGUGUGGGGUGAGCAGACGGACUGGUCUGGCAGGGAGGGGACAUCAGCCCUUGUGAGGAAAGGACAGGCGGCCCUGAUGUCACCGGGAAUGGACAUUGUGCUGGAGCUGCCACCAGACAGCACGUGGCCCGAGGGCAUGUUAGUAAAAGUACUGUCCCUAGAAGAGGGAGGGGCUGUGCACUGAUCCAUCAUUCAACUCUGUUGAACGGAUAUUUGUUGUGCGCCAGACACAGGACACACGCUUUCGGCAUCUGGGAGACCUCAGGGACGUCGCCAGAGACCAAACUUGUCGGCGGUGUGGAGUCUCUGUCCUGGGGGAGGGGCAGAGUGGACACUAUAUGCCUCGUCAGGGAGGGACGUGUCACAUCGGAGGUGGGAGGGGCCUUGGGGAAGGUGACCCCGAGUAGAAGUGUGUGGGGACAGGGUGGGGGGUGAGUGUGGGCCUUCCUGGGAGGGUGACCUUUGAGUCCAGAUGGGAAGGACCCGAAGGAAAUGCCCGCGAGGCUGUGUGGGGACGUUCUCUGCAGGCAGGGGACCCUCCUGGGCGAAGGCACAAGGACAGGAGGGGGUAUGUGUUCAGGGAGGAGCCAGGAGGCCGGCGAGGCUGCCGGAGGGAGGCGCUGGGAUGAGACCCACUGUCCGGCCAGAUCGUGUGGCCUCCCCAUGUGAGAAGGGUUUUGAUUUUGUCUCAGAUGUGGCGUUUGUAAGAUGGUUUGACCGAAGAUCAGGCUGGAGUGAGUGCUCUCUAGAAGCAUGGGUCUGGCUGCUGCACAGACUCAGGAGGGGAAGGUGAGCGACACCGUCAAGGAAGGAAACAGAGCAGCAUCCAGGCUGGAGGAGAUGCUGCUGGUCGGGGCGAGAGCAGGGAAUGGACGAGUCAGUGACUGGAGUCUCGACACGUUCUCAGGAUGGAUUUAGAGCAUUUCCUCCUGGAUCAAAUCUGGACUGUGAGAAAGCAGAAAGAAGGAUGGCACCCCAAACUUGAGACUGUGCAAGUUGGCCUGUGGAAAUGGGGAGAUUCUGGGAGUUCCCGUCGUAGCGCAGUGGUUAACGAAUCCAACUAGGAACGAUGAGCUUUUGGGUUUGAUCCCUGGCCUUGCUCAGUGGGUUAAAGAUCGGGCAUUGCUGUGAGCUGUGGUGUAGGUUGCAGACGUGGCUCAGAUCCCGUGUUGCUGUGGCUCUGGCAUAGGCCAAUGGCAACAGCUCUGAUUAGACCCCUAGCCUGGGAACCUCUAUAUGCCUCGAGAGUGGCCUCAGAAAAGAUAAAAAAAACAAAAACAAAAACAAAAAAAAGAAAAGAAAGAAAUGAGGAGACUCUGGAAGGAGCACAUUUGAGGAGGUGGCAGCACCUGCACUCGGAUUAGGAACGUGGCCACUGAGUGGCAUGUACCCAUCUGGGCUUUAGGGGAGGUGCCUUGGCUGGAGAAAUAGAUGGAGGAGGUGACACCCAGUGAAUGAUAUUGAAAGCUCUAAGAACACACGAGGUCACCAGGGGAGAACUGACUACAGAAGAAGAAGGACAAGGAUUAAACCCUGAACCCCCAGCGCUGGGCGAUCUGAUCAGAGCGCACACACCUGAGCAGACUGUGCGGAUCUGACCCCGGGUCCAGACACCACAGGCCCAGGGAGUCCCCAUCCCCACUCGCACAGGACUCAGCUGGACGCCUCGUUAGAUACAGUCGGUCUUGAUAAGAGGGUGAGCUUCUGCCUUUACAGCAAGGUUGGUGCUGAUGCCCUGCUGGUCUCCGGGUCACACUUUGAGCGGCAAGACGGUCCCCAGGAUUCCCACGUGCCUGUGCCUCAGUCUCCCCUUUAGAGCUUGUUAAUCAGGGUUCCUGGAUCCAUGCCCAGGGUGCUGAGAUGGGGGGUCUGGGAAGAGGCCUGAGGAUGUGUAAUAAUCCCGACCAGCAGGCCUGAGGCUCUGUCAGAGUGAGAUCCACGGAGGUCAGUGGUCAGAGAGGGAUCAGCCUGGAGUGGGCUCUUCAAUACACAUUCCCAGGUGUUUUCCUGGAAGCAAAUGACAAGACGUGUCCUCUCUACCCUGGGGUAUAACCAGGUGGCUGACUUAGGAGGUUCUCGGCUCAGCAUAAAGAAAGCCUCAGAGUUGCUAAGAGAAUCGAUUUAAAUUCACACACACACACACACAAAUGGUAAAGAUGUGACAUCACACAGUUGUCGGCUGAGGCGAUGACGAUAAUCACUUUGCUGUACGUAAGUGUUUCCUAUCGACAAUUUGUACACUAUAAACUUAAUAUUUAUAUCAAUCAUAUCUCAAUAAACUAGGGGGGGGAAUCUCUGAAUCUUGCUCUCUGAGAGUUUCCUUGUGUGUUAUUCUUGCAAAGUUCUUUGUGGGCAAAAGGAUUUCGAAUCGUUCUAAAUUCAAGUUCCCAUCAUGGCUCAGUGGUUAAUGAACCCGGCUAGUAUCCAUGACGAUGCGGGCUCGAUCCCUGGUCUCGCUCAGUGAGUUAAGGAUCGGGUAUUGCUGUGAGCUGUGGUGUAGGUGGAAGACAAGUCUCAGAUCCCAUGUGGCUGUGACAUAGGCCGGCAGCUAGAGCUGCAAUUCAACCCCUAGCCUGGGAACCUCCUUGUCCUGCGGGUAGAGUCCUAAGAAGAUAUAAGANAAAAAAAAAAAAAAAAAAAAAAAAAAAAAAAAAAAAAAAGGUUCUAAUCAAAUAAAGUCAGAGAGACAGAUUCGUAGUUUUGUUUUAUUUCAGGAACAGCCCUGAGGCCACACAGCCAGGAACAGAAUCCACAGCCCUACCCAGUUCGGGUCCCGCCUGGG